GAUGAACGCUGACAGAAUGCUUAACACAUGCAAGUCUACUUGAACUUCGGUUUGGGUGGCGGACGGGUGAGUAACGCGUAAAGAACUUGCCUCACAGUUAGGGACAACAUUUGGAAACGAAUGCUAAUACCUGAUAUUAUGAUUUUAGGGCAUCCUAGGAUUAUGAAAGCUAUAUGUGCUGUGAGAGAGCUUUGCGUCCCAUUAGCUAGUUGGAGAGGUAACGGCUCACCAAGGCGAUGAUGGGUAGCCGGCCUGAGAGGGUGAACGGCCACAAGGGGACUGAGACACGGCCAUUACUCCUACGGGAGGCAGCAGUGGGGAAUAUUGGACAAUGGACCAAAAGUGUGAUCCAGCAAUUCUGUGUGCACGAUGACGUUUUUCGGAAUGAAAAGUGCUUUCAGUUGGGAAGAAAAAAAUGACGGUACCAACAGAAGAAGUGACGGCUAAAUACGUG
This 454-nucleotide ribosomal RNA is filed under the name uncultured bacterium. RNAcentral's name for it is "partial 16S ribosomal RNA". It matches the Rfam family "Bacterial small subunit ribosomal RNA", at positions 28 to 507 of the family's 1533-position model. The record is from RNAcentral.